Molecule: ribosomal RNA, 825 nt
Filed under: uncultured fungus
Lineage: Eukaryota; Fungi
Description: eukaryotic LSU rRNA
Rfam family: Eukaryotic small subunit ribosomal RNA (bases 1-241)
Source: RNAcentral
UUGCUCUUCAACGAGGAAUGCCUAGUAAGCGCGUGUCAUCAGCAUGCGUUGAUUACGUCCCUGACCUUUGUACACACCGCCCGUCGCUACUACCGAUUGAAUGGCUCAGUGAGGCCUUCGGACUGGCUCGAGGAGGUUGGCAACGACCACCCAGAGCCGGAAAGUUCGUCAAACUUGGUCAUUUAGAGGAAGUAAAAGUCGUAACAAGGUUUCCGUAGGUGAACCUGCGGAAGGAUCAUUAACGAGGAAGGGUUUCCGAAAGGAGCCCGAACUCCCCACCCUUUGCCGUUGCGAAUCUGUUGCUUCGGCGGGCCCGUCCUCCCCCUGCGAGGGGGGAGUGCCGGCCGGGCCUCACCGCCCGGACAGCGCCCGCCGGAGGACCGAAUCAACUCUGUUUUUAACCAUAAUGUCGGAGUACUUUUGUACAAUCAAAUUAAAACUUUCAACAACGGAUCUCUUGGUUCUGACAUCGAUGAAGAACGCAGCGAAAUGCGAUAAGUAAUGUGAAUUGCAGAAUUCAGUGAAUCAUCGAAUCUUUGAACGCACAUUGCGCCCCUUGGUAUUCCGAGGGGCAUGCCUGUUCGAGCGUCAUUUCACCAAUCAAGCCCCGCUUGGUAUUAGGCGUUUGGCCGGGACCCUGUCAAAAGGGGGACCGGCCCGCCCGAAAUGCAUCGGCGAGGCACCGACCCCCGGCGUGUUAGAAUUUCGAAACGUCAGGAGCACCGGUGUUAACCUCUGCCGUGAAACCUUUCAAUUAUCUUCUAAGGUUGACCUCGGAUCAGGUAGGAAUACCCGCUGAACUUAAGCAUAUCAAUAAGCGGAGGA